Molecule: small RNA, 29 nt
Filed under: Bombyx mori (domestic silkworm)
Lineage: Eukaryota; Metazoa; Arthropoda; Insecta; Lepidoptera; Bombycidae
Description: ovarian small RNA-31718
Source: RNAcentral
UGACGAUAGUUCCGGACUUGAGGGUCCUA